This 253-nucleotide ribosomal RNA is filed under the name uncultured bacterium. RNAcentral describes it as "partial 16S ribosomal RNA". It matches the Rfam family "Bacterial small subunit ribosomal RNA", at positions 524 to 776 of the family's 1533-position model. The record is from RNAcentral.
UACGUAGGGUGCGAGCGUUGUCCGGAAUUAUUGGGCGUAAAGAGCUUGUAGGCGGUUUGUCGCGUCUGCUGUGAAAAUCCGGGGCUCAACCCCGGACUUGCAGUGGGUACGGGCAGACUAGAGUGUGGUAGGGGAGACUGGAAUUCCUGGUGUAGCGGUGAAAUGCGCAGAUAUCAGGAGGGACACCGAUGGCGAAGGCAGGUCUCUGGGCCACUACUGACGCUGAGAAGCGAAAGCAUGGGGAGCGAACAGG